AGUCAUUUCAACCCCAGAUAAAUCCAACUGUGAAAGGUUUAGCAUUCCCCACGGAGCUCCUUUCUCCAGAGCAGCCUAGUGUGGCUCCUGGAGUAAUUAAUGCCAGAAUCUAUUUAUGACCUUUGAAUAAAUUGUUCUUUUCUGAAGGGAAAGCUGUUAAACACGUUAGCAAAUAUAAUUAAGAGGGAAGGGGGGGUGGUGGGGAUGACAAAAAUCUGGAAUUAAAUCUCUCCUAAUUAGAAAUGCUUCUUGCAACAACCUGGCUAAAACCCCACUCUCAAGCAGAUACUGUAGCUUCAUUAAAGCCUCCUCAUUACCCUUCCUGAGAUAACCCAGCUGCCAAUAGCAGGAAAAUUGACUUCUCACCUGUGUCACCUCUAAGAAAAUAAAAGCAGUUAGGUGUUGUCCUGGUGGGGAGAGCUUGGUGACGUGCACCUGAACACGCUGAGGGUGGAAAAUGCAGCCAGGGAGAAGCAAAAGGUGAAGUUCUCACCAGCAAGACACUGAUUGCAUCACACUCCAAGUGGCCAAAGCUGCAGGGAGUAGCAGCAAUUAAAGCAAUUAAACCCCUUGGAAGCGUCCUCUCUCCAUCAGUGUGAACAUCCCAGUCCCUGGAGAACCCAGAAGUGAUGGGUGAGGAAGGGUUAAAGCAAGGGGACAAAUCUGUGAUGCCACAGAGGAGCCUGCCCUGUGACCUGGAAACCCACUCAGGGAUGAUUCACAUCUGGCAGGAUCCCAGGUUAAGCUUUUAAUUAUUUCAGUAAGCCCUUCAAAAACUCCACUUUUCUGUAGAAAUAUUUGUGCUCAAGCAAUGCCCACUCCUAAACCCAGAGGGUUCCACAAACAGAAGCUGGGAGAUGUCAAUGCAUCCCUGGGAACAUCCACUCCCAGCACAGACCAGUCUGGACAGCUUGAAAACUUCAAAUAUUUCUAGGGGACACCCCUGUCUCCCCAGGAGCUGCCACCCAGCCGGUCCUGAAAGCAUCACCCCAGAGCUGGAAGCUGCCACAGCACCACAAUAAUGCCCUGUCCCCAAAAUCCUGAGCUCUGCCAUCAGCUGGGCUCUGCCCAGCCAGCAGAACAAAGCCAUUUCCACCCUGCAGAUGGAGCAUCCUCUGCCAGAGGGGCACCAAAGGGAGCCCCAGGGCCACUUCAGCCACCCAGGGCCAGUGGCUGAGCCCAGAGCCACACUGAAAUAGCCCCAGACCCUGCAGCAGCAGCAGGAAAGUAAAGAUAUAGAAGUUGAUCUAUAAAAGGGAAAAAAAAUAAAAAUCAUAA
This 1278-nucleotide long non-coding RNA is filed under the name Cyanistes caeruleus (blue tit). Its description in RNAcentral is "lncRNA (ENSCCEG00000006220.1)". The record is from RNAcentral. Lineage: Eukaryota; Metazoa; Chordata; Aves; Passeriformes; Paridae.